This 18-nucleotide small RNA is filed under the name Arabidopsis thaliana (thale cress). Its description in RNAcentral is "ATSL075090". The record is from RNAcentral. Lineage: Eukaryota; Viridiplantae; Streptophyta; Magnoliopsida; Brassicales; Brassicaceae.
AAAAAGAAGGAAAAAAAA